AAGACUAUAGACCUGCGGAGUACCUGCGGAGGGAUCAUUACAAGUGACCCCGGUCUAACCACCGGGAUGUUCAUAACCCUUUGUUGUCCGACUCUGUUGCCUCCGGGGCGACCCUGCCUUCGGGCGGGGGCUCCGGGUGGACACUUCAAACUCUUGCGUAACUUUGCAGUCUGAGUAAACUUAAUUAAUAAAUUAAAACUUUCAGCAAUGGAUCUCU
This 217-nucleotide unclassified non-coding RNA is filed under the name soil metagenome. RNAcentral describes it as "partial contains 5.8S ribosomal RNA, internal transcribed spacer 2, and large subunit ribosomal RNA". The record is from RNAcentral.